RNAcentral lists this ribosomal RNA (477 nucleotides) under bacterium BCM25. Its description in RNAcentral is "bacterial SSU rRNA". It matches the Rfam family "Bacterial small subunit ribosomal RNA", at positions 58 to 515 of the family's 1533-position model. The record is from RNAcentral.
CAAGUCGAGCGGAACGAGUUAUCUGAACCUUCGGGGGACGAUAACGGCGUCGAGCGGCGGACGGGUGAGUAAUGCCUAGGAAAUUGCCCUGAUGUGGGGGAUAACCAUUGGAAACGAUGGCUAAUACCGCAUGAUGCCUACGGGCCAAAGAGGGGGACCUUCGGGCCUCUCGCGUCAGGAUAUGCCUAGGUGGGAUUAGCUAGUUGGUGAGGUAAGGGCUCACCAAGGCGACGAUCCCUAGCUGGUCUGAGAGGAUGAUCAGCCACACUGGAACUGAGACACGGUCCAGACUCCUACGGGAGGCAGCAGUGGGGAAUAUUGCACAAUGGGCGCAAGCCUGAUGCAGCCAUGCCGCGUGUGUGAAGAAGGCCUUCGGGUUGUAAAGCACUUUCAGUCGUGAGGAAGGUGGUGUAGUUAAUAGCUGCAUUAUUUGACGUUAGCGACAGAAGAAGCACCGGCUAACUCCGUGCCAGCAGC